UGGGGAAUAUUGGACAAUGGGCGCAAGCCUGAUCCAGCCAUGCCGCGUGAGUGACGAAGGUCUUCGGAUUGUAAAGCUCUUUUUGGCGGGGACGAUAAUGACGGUACCCGCAGAAUAAGCCCCGGCUAACUUCGUGCCAGCAGCCGCGGUAAUACGAAGGGGGCUAGCGUUGUUCGGAAUUACUGGGCGUAAAGCGCACGUAGGCGGACUCUUAAGUCAGGGGUGAAAUCCCGGGGCUCAACCUCGGAACUGCCCUUGAUACUGUGAGUCUCGAGACCGGAAGAGGUGAGUGGAAUUCCUAGUGUAGAGGUGAAAUUCGUAGAUAUUAGGAAGAACACCAGUGGCGAAGGCGGCUCACUGGUCCGGUUCUGACGCUGAGGUGCGAAAGCGUGGGGAGCAAACAGGAUUAGAUACCCGCGUAGUCCCUGAGCGGGCUGGCAAGGCGCAU
RNAcentral lists this ribosomal RNA (448 nucleotides) under uncultured bacterium. RNAcentral's name for it is "bacterial SSU rRNA". It matches the Rfam family "Bacterial small subunit ribosomal RNA", at positions 355 to 825 of the family's 1533-position model. The record is from RNAcentral.